UGGCUCAGAUUGAACGCUGGCGGCAGGCCUAACACAUGCAAGUCGAACGGUAACAGAAAUCAGCUUGCUGAUUUGCUGACGAGUGGCGGACGGGUGAGUAAUGUCUGGGAAACUGCCUGAUGGAGGGGGAUAACUACUGGAAACGGUAGCUAAUACCGCAUAACGUCGCAAGACCAAAGAGGGGGACCUUCGGGCCUCUUGCCAUCGGAUGUGCCCAGAUGGGAUUAGCUAGUAGGUGGGGUAAUGGCUCACCUAGGCGACGAUCCCUAGCUGGUCUGAGAGGAUGACCAGCCACACUGGAACUGAGACACGGUCCAGACUCCUACGGGAGGCAGCAGUGGGGAAUAUUGCACAAUGGGCGCAAGCCUGAUGCAGCCAUGCCGCGUGUAUGAAGAAGGCCUUCGGGUUGUAAAGUACUUUCAGCGAGGAGGAAGGUGUUGUGGUUAAUAACCGCAGCAAUUGACGUUACUCGCAGAAGAAGCACCGGCUAACUCCGUGCCAGCAGCCGCGGUAAUACGGAGGGUGCAAGCGUUAAUCGGAAUUACUGGGCGUAAAGCGCACGCAGGCGGUUUGUUAAGUCAGAUGUGAAAUCCCCGGGCUCAACCUGGGAACUGCAUUUGAAACUGGCAAGCUUGAGUCUCGUAGAGGGGGGUAGAAUUCCAGGUGUAGCGGUGAAAUGCGUAGAGAUCUGGAGGAAUACCGGUGGCGAAGGCGGCCCCCUGGACGAAGACUGACGCUCAGGUGCGAAA
Molecule: ribosomal RNA, 749 nt
Filed under: Cronobacter sakazakii
Lineage: Bacteria; Pseudomonadati; Pseudomonadota; Gammaproteobacteria; Enterobacterales; Enterobacteriaceae
Description: bacterial SSU rRNA
Rfam family: Bacterial small subunit ribosomal RNA
Source: RNAcentral